Molecule: ribosomal RNA, 700 nt
Filed under: uncultured Acidobacteriota bacterium
Lineage: Bacteria; Pseudomonadati; Acidobacteriota
Description: bacterial SSU rRNA
Rfam family: Bacterial small subunit ribosomal RNA
Source: RNAcentral
UACCUUCGAGUGGGGAAUGACAGUCGGAAACGGCUGCUAAUACCGCAUAAUGCAGCGGCACCUAAUGGUGACAGUUGUUAAAGGAGCAAUCCGCUUGAAGAGGAGCUUGCGGCAGAUUAGCUAGUUGGUAAGGUAAUGGCUUACCAAGGCUUCGAUCUGUAACCGGUCUAAGAGGACGGUCGGUCACACUGACACUGAAUAACGGGUCAGACUCCUACGGGAGGCAGCAGUCGGGAAUUUUGGGCAAUGGGCGAAAGCCUGACCCAGCAACGCCGCGUGAAGGAUGAAGUAUUUCGGUAUGUAAACUUCGAAAGAAUGGGAAGAAUCAAUGACGGUACCAUUUAUAAGGUCCGGCUAACUACGUGCCAGCAGCCGCGGUAAUACGUAGGGACCAAGCGUUGUUCGGAUUUACUGGGCGUAAAGGGCGCGUAGGCGGCUUGUCAAGUCACUUGUGAAAUCUCCGGGCUUAACCCGGAACGGCCAAGUGAAACUGACAUGCUAGAGUGCAGAAGGGGCAAUCGGAAUUCUCGGUGUAGCGGUGAAAUGCGUAGAUAUCGAGAGGAACACCUGAGGUGAAGACGGGUUGCUGGGCUGACACUGACGCUGAGGCGCGAAAGCCAGGGGAGCAAACGGGAUUAGAUACCCCGGUAGUCCUGGCCCUAAACGAUGAAUACUUGGUGUCUGGAGUUAUUAGUGCUCC